This 76-nucleotide transfer RNA is filed under the name Clostridia bacterium. RNAcentral's name for it is "tRNA-Asn". It matches the Rfam family "tRNA". Rfam says of the family: Transfer RNA (tRNA) molecules are approximately 80 nucleotides in length. Their secondary structure includes four short double-helical elements and three loops (D, anti-codon, and T loops). The record is from RNAcentral. Lineage: Bacteria; Bacillati; Bacillota; Clostridia.
UCCUCUUUAGCUCAGUUGGUAGAGCGCCCGGCUGUUAACCGGUAGGUCGUAGGUUCGAGUCCUACAAGGGGAGCCA